CGCGACCCCCAGGUCAGGCGGGGCUACCCGCUGAGUUUAAGCA
RNAcentral lists this ribosomal RNA (43 nucleotides) under Acacia dealbata. RNAcentral describes it as "partial large subunit ribosomal RNA". The record is from RNAcentral. Lineage: Eukaryota; Viridiplantae; Streptophyta; Magnoliopsida; Fabales; Fabaceae.